ACUUGAGAGUUUUCCCAAUUGAUGGAUGGAUCGAGCGAAUGCAGGAAUGAAAGGCCGGAAGGAUUCGUCGCGCCAACUUCCGUGGCGAGCUUGACCACGCUUUCGGCGUCGAGCUGACCGCUAUUCUUAAGCAGCCCUACGCCUUCCAUGAAUCCCUUCAACUGUCCCUGAAAUUUUUGCCAGGCGCCUUCUAUUUUUGAAUCCCGGAAUCGGCCCAGCUCCUCUUCGAUUGCGGUCAAAAUUUCUUCACGCGAUUUUUCGAUUUUGACCUGGUCGCCAAAUUUCUCCUUAUAAACAUUGAAGA
This 304-nucleotide unclassified non-coding RNA is filed under the name uncultured fungus. Its description in RNAcentral is "sequence contains ITS1". Lineage: Eukaryota; Fungi. The record is from RNAcentral.